This 1531-nucleotide ribosomal RNA is filed under the name chicken gut metagenome. RNAcentral describes it as "Bacterial small subunit ribosomal RNA". It matches the Rfam family "Bacterial small subunit ribosomal RNA". The record is from RNAcentral.
UAUGAGAGUUCGAUCCUGGCUCAGGAUGAACGCUGGCGGCGUGCCUAAUACAUGCAAGUCGAACGGGGAUGGUAGCAAUACCAUCCUAGUGGCGAACGGGUGAGUAACACGUUGGGAACCUGCCCCUUAGACCGGGAUACCCGAGGGAAACUUUGGCUAAUACCGGAUAUGUCGCACUGACACAAGUCGGUGUGAUGAAAGGCACCUUUCAAGGUGCGCUUAGGGAUGGACCUGCGGCGGAUUAGCUAGUUGGUGAGAUAACAGCCCACCAAGGCGAGGAUCCGUAGCCGAACUGAGAGGUUGAUCGGCCACACUGGAACUGAGACACGGUCCAGACUCCUACGGGAGGCAGCAGUAGGGAGUAUUCGGCAAUGGGGGAAACCCUGACCGAGCAACGCCGCGUGAAGGAUUAAGGCCUUCGGGUUGUAAACUUCUGUGACGAGGGACGAAUGGCGCUAGGAGGAAAUGCCUAGCGAUUGACGGUACCUCGUUAGAAAGCUACGGCUAACUACGUGCCAGCAGCCGCGGUAAUACGUAGGUAGCAAGCGUUAUCCGGAAUUAUUGGGCGUAAAGAGUGAGCAGGCGGUGAGCCAAGUCCAAAGUCAAAUACCGUUGCUUAACGGCGGUCCGCUUUGGAAACUGGUUCGCUAGAGUGUGGGAGAGGUAAACGGAACUCCGAAUGUAGCGGUGAAAUGCACAGAUAUUCGGAAGAACACCAGAGGCGAAGGCGGUUUACCAGACCAAUACUGACGCUCAGUCACGAAAGCGUGGGGAGCAAAUAGGCUUAGAUACCCUAGUAGUCCACGCUGUAAACGAUGAGAACUAGAUGUCGGAAGAAUCCGGCGUCACAGCUAACGCAUUAAGUUCUCCGCCUGGGUAUUACGUUCGCAAGAAUAAAACUUAAAGGAAUUGACGGGGACCCGCACAAGCAGUGGAGCAUGUGGAUUAAUUCGACGCUACGCGAAAAACCUUACCAGGGUUGGACAUGUUAGGCUAAUACUCGGCGAAAGUUGGGGGAUAUACGUCUAAUGAAGGUGGUGCAUGGUUGUCGUCAGCUCGUGUCGUGAGAUGUUGGGUUAAGUCCCAAAACGAGCGCAACCCUUGUCCUUAGUUGCCAUCAUUCAGUUGGGAACUCUAAGGAGACUGCCGGUGCAAGCCGGAGGAAGAUGGGGACGACGUCAAAUCAUCAUGCCCCUUAUGCCCUGGGCCUCACACGUGCUACAAUGGGCGGCACAAAGAGCAGCAAGUGAGCGAUCACAAGCUAAUCUCAUAAAACCGCUCUCAGUUCGGAUUGAAGCCUGCAACUCGGCUUCAUGAAGCUGGAAUUGCUAGUAAUCGCAGAUCAGCAUUGCUGCGGUGAAUACGUUCUCGGGUCUUGUACACACUGCCCGUCACACCAUGAGAGUCUGCAACGCUCGAAGUCGUUAUCCUAACUUAGCAAUAAGGGGGAGGCGCCUAAGGCGGGGCCGAUGAUUGGGGUUAAGUCGUAACAAGGUAUCCCUACGAGAACGUGGGGAUGGAUCACCUCCUU